CCUACGGGGGGCAGCAGUAGGGAAUAUUGCACAAUGGGGGAAACCCUGAAGCAGCAACGCCGCGUGGAGGAUGAAGGUUUUCGGAUUGUAAACUCCUUUUGUUAGAGAAGAUAAUGACGGUAUCUAACGAAUAAGCACCGGCUAACUCCGUGCCAGCAGCCGCGGUAAUACGGAGGGUGCAAGCGUUACUCGGAAUCACUGGGCGUAAAGAGAGCGUAGGCGGGAAAGCAAGUCAGAUGUGAAAGCCUAUGGCUUAACCAUAGGACUGCUUUUGAAACUGUUGUGCUAGAGUGUGGGAGAGGUAAGUGGAAUUCUUGGUGUAGGGGUAAAAUCCGUAGAGAUCAAGAGGAAUACUCGUGGCGAAGGCGACCUACUAGAACAUAACUGACGCUGAUGCGCGAAAGCGUGGGGAGCAAACAGGAUUAGAUACCCGAGUAGUC
This 440-nucleotide ribosomal RNA is filed under the name uncultured bacterium. RNAcentral's name for it is "partial 16S ribosomal RNA". It matches the Rfam family "Bacterial small subunit ribosomal RNA", at positions 338 to 795 of the family's 1533-position model. The record is from RNAcentral.